UACAUGUGGGGCAAGCGUUGUUCGGAAUUACUGGGCGUAAAGGGCUCGUAGGCGGCCAACUAAGUCGGAUGUGAAAUCCCCAGGCUUAACCUGGGAACUGCAUCCGAUACUGGAUGGCUUGAAUCCGGGAGAGGGAUGCAGAAUUCCAGGUGUAGCGGUGAAAUGCGUUGAGAUCGGAAGGAACGCCCGUGGCGAAAGCGAGAUCCUGGACGUCUUCUGACGCUGAGACGCGAAAGCUAGGGGAGCAAACGGG
This 253-nucleotide ribosomal RNA is filed under the name uncultured bacterium. RNAcentral's name for it is "partial 16S ribosomal RNA". It matches the Rfam family "Bacterial small subunit ribosomal RNA", at positions 524 to 776 of the family's 1533-position model. The record is from RNAcentral.